GAAGAAGCAAAGUGAUGAGCAAUACUUGCUUGAGCCAAAGUGAGUGAGUUGAGUGUAUGUGUAGUUGUGUGGUGGUUGAGAGAAUGGUGUGCCUUAUAACUGGGCAAUGAUAGCUAAACUGAUAAGAUCUGAUUGCUUC
Molecule: small nucleolar RNA, 139 nt
Filed under: Manacus vitellinus (golden-collared manakin)
Lineage: Eukaryota; Metazoa; Chordata; Aves; Passeriformes; Pipridae
Description: Small nucleolar RNA ZL1
Rfam family: Small nucleolar RNA ZL1
About the family: Host gene TRRAP. Predicted target U2@U47.
Source: Rfam by way of RNAcentral